This 64-nucleotide microRNA precursor is filed under the name Caenorhabditis brenneri. RNAcentral's name for it is "microRNA cbn-mir-7614 precursor". The record is from miRBase by way of RNAcentral. Lineage: Eukaryota; Metazoa; Nematoda; Chromadorea; Rhabditida; Rhabditidae.
CGCUAUCUUCAUGUGGGGGUUUACAUAAAUUCCAAAGUAUGUAACCCAACUGAAAAUAGCUGGA